This 464-nucleotide ribosomal RNA is filed under the name uncultured bacterium. RNAcentral's name for it is "partial 16S ribosomal RNA". It matches the Rfam family "Bacterial small subunit ribosomal RNA", at positions 29 to 507 of the family's 1533-position model. The record is from RNAcentral.
ACGAACGCUGGCGGCGUGCUUAACACAUGCCAGUCGAACGGAAAGGCCCUGCUUGCAGGGUACUCGAGUGGCGAACGGGUGAGUAACACGUGGGUGAUCUGCCCUGCACUUCGGGAUAAGCCUGGGAAACUGGGUCUAAUACCGGAUAGGAGCCAUUUUUAGUGUGAUGGUUGGAAAGUUUUUUCGGUGUAGGAUGAGCUCGCGGCCUAUCAGCUUGUUGGUGGGGUAAUGGCCUACCAAGGCGGCGACGGGUAGCCGGCCUGAGAGGGUGGACGGCCACAUUGGGACUGAGAUACGGCCCAGACUCCUACGGGAGGCAGCAGUGGGGAAUAUUGCACAAUGGGCGCAAGCCUGAUGCAGCGACGCCGCGUGGGGGAUGACGGCCUUCGGGUUGUAAACUCCUUUCGCUAGGGAUGAAGCUUUUUGUGACGGUACCUAGAUAAGAAGCACCGGCUAACUACGUG